GCUCAGAAACUUAAAGGAAUUGACGGGGGCCCGCACAAGCGGUGGAGCAUGUGGUUUAAUUCGAUGAUACGCGAGGAACCUUACCUGGGCUCAAAUGUAUGUUGACGUAUUCUGAAAGGGAUACUUCUUCGGACAAUAUACAAGGUGCUGCAUGGUUGUCGUCAGCUCGUGCCGUGAGGUGUCGGGUUAAGUCCCAUAACGAGCGCAACCCCUAUCAUUAGUUGCCAUCAGGUCAAGCUGGGGACUCUAAUGAAACUGCCUACGCAAGUAGUGAGGAAGGUGGGGAUGACGUCAAAUCAGCACGGCCCUUACGUCCAGGGCUACACACGUGCUACAAUGGCCGGUACAAAGGGCAGCUACCUGGUGACAGGAUGCUAAUCUCAAAAGCCGGUCUCAGUUCGGAUCGGAGUCUGCAACCCGACUCCGUGAGGCUGGAAUCGCUAGUAAUCGCGCAUCAGCCAUGGCGCGGUGAAUACGUUCCCGGGCCUU
Molecule: ribosomal RNA, 489 nt
Filed under: uncultured Sphingobacteriales bacterium
Lineage: Bacteria; Pseudomonadati; Bacteroidota; Sphingobacteriia; Sphingobacteriales
Description: bacterial SSU rRNA
Rfam family: Bacterial small subunit ribosomal RNA
Source: RNAcentral